GGGCCGUUAGCUCAAUUGGUAGAGCAGCUGCCUCUUAAGCAGCAGGUUACAGGUUCGAGACCCGUACGGCUCA
This is a transfer RNA of 73 nucleotides. It matches the Rfam family "tRNA". Rfam says of the family: Transfer RNA (tRNA) molecules are approximately 80 nucleotides in length.